CCCAUUCCAGCAUCAGCAGAGGCGCCAUCCGUUGCCAUCCCGGACCGCUCAGGGGAUUUCCUCGACUCGCCCGAGUUCAUCGUCGUUGUCGGCUUCGGAACGCCGGCUCAGCCAUCUUCCGUGAUGUUUGACACCGGCAGUGACAUGUCAUGGAUCCAGUGCAAGCCGUGCUCCGGCUACUGCCAUCCGCAGCACGACCCCAUCUUCGACCCCACCAAAUCCACCACCUACGCCGCCGUGCAAUGCGGCCAACCAUUGUGCUCACGCACCGGCAGCAAGUGCAACGACACCACCUGCCUAUACUCCAUGGAUUAUGUCGACGGCUCGUCCGAAUGGAGCACAUCCGGCGUCCUCUCCCAGGACACGUUGACGCUCACUUCCUCAACCAAGCUCUCCGGCGUCCCGUUCGGAUGCGGCCAGCGAAACGUGGGCAAGUUCGGCUACGUCGACGGGCUGCUCGGCCUUGGCCGUGGCCAACUCUCACUGUCUUCACAAGCAGGUCAUUCGUUCGGCAGCACCUUCUCCUACUGUCUCCCGUCCGACAACAGCACGGCCGGGUACCUCAGCAUCGGCUCGACGCCGGUCUCCGGCCAAGUCCAGUACACGGCGAUGAUACAAAAGUCCAGCUACCCAUCAUUGUACUUCGUCGAGCUCGUCUCCAUCAACAUCGGUGGUUACAUCCUCCCGGUGCCACCCUCAAUAUUCACGAGCACCGGCACCAUCUUGGACUCCGGCACGAUCCUUACGCAUCUACCGGGGCAGGCAUACACCGCGCUUCGCGACCGGUUCAAGUUCACCAUGCAGGGGAGCAAAACAGCGCCGCCGCAAGAAAACCUCGACACGUGCUAUGACUUUGGCGGCCAGAGUGGAAUCUUAAUACCGGCGGUAUCACUCAUAUUCAGUGAUGGCGCGGUUUUUGACCUCAACUUCUACGGGAUCUUGACAUUUCCACAGCCGACCAUCGGCUGCCUCGCGUUCAUGCCGCGGCCAGCGUCGACGCCGUUCUCCAUCAUCGGCAAUACGCAACAGCGGUCGACCGAGGUGAUAUACAACGUUGCUGCGGAGAAGAUCGGUUUUGUCCCCAACAGUUGCUGA
Molecule: ribosomal RNA, 1095 nt
Filed under: Triticum aestivum (bread wheat)
Lineage: Eukaryota; Viridiplantae; Streptophyta; Magnoliopsida; Poales; Poaceae
Description: partial small subunit ribosomal RNA
Source: RNAcentral